Molecule: ribosomal RNA, 454 nt
Filed under: Encarsia inaron
Lineage: Eukaryota; Metazoa; Arthropoda; Insecta; Hymenoptera; Aphelinidae
Description: eukaryotic LSU rRNA
Source: RNAcentral
AAAGAUCGAAUGGGGAGAUUCAUCGUCAGCCGCUUUGGCUUCCGUGUGAACGCGAUGAUCGGGGCUUCGGCUCUGCGUCACGCGUUUGCUGCGGCAUGUCUGGAGUGGUCGGCGUGCACUUCUCCCCUAGUAGGACGUCGCGAUUCGUUGGGUGUCGGUUUACGGACCGGUAGGUCGCCUGGCGUAUCUCGUUCACGCGAGUUUGUGUCAGACCUCUGGAUUCCCAACCGGCUGCCCGGCGGUAUAAAACGAUAAUUAAACGGUAUUGGGCCGCAUUGAAUGCGUUCAGGCUCGUAGGCAGGCUUGUCUCGCUCGGAUUUACGGACCUAGUGCCGUUGCCGGGUGCUUGGCGAACUGUGGCUUGCGAUGUCCUCGGACUGGCUCUUGAAUAUUCUUACGAAUAUACCGAUCGGCGACGCUACUGCUUUGGGUACUUUCAGGACCCGUCUUGAAA